GUGCCAGCCGCUGCGGUAAUACGAAGGGUGCAAGCGUUACUCGGAAUUACUGGGCGUAAAGCGUGCGUAGGUGGUCGUUUAAGUCCGUUGUGAAAGCCCUGGGCUCAACCUGGGAACUGCAGUGGAUACUGGGCGACUAGAGUGUGGUAGAGGGUAGCGGAAUUCCUGGUGUAGCAGUGAAAUGCGUAGAGAUCAGGAGGAACAUCCAUGGCGAAGGCAGCUACCUGGACCAACACUGACACUGAGCACGAAAGCGUGGGAGCAAACAGGAUAGAUACCCUGGUAGUCCACGCCCUAAACGAU
RNAcentral lists this ribosomal RNA (303 nucleotides) under uncultured Stenotrophomonas sp. RNAcentral's name for it is "bacterial SSU rRNA". It matches the Rfam family "Bacterial small subunit ribosomal RNA", at positions 505 to 810 of the family's 1533-position model. The record is from RNAcentral. Lineage: Bacteria; Pseudomonadati; Pseudomonadota; Gammaproteobacteria; Lysobacterales; Lysobacteraceae.